RNAcentral lists this unclassified non-coding RNA (164 nucleotides) under uncultured fungus. RNAcentral's name for it is "sequence contains ITS1, 5.8S rRNA gene". Lineage: Eukaryota; Fungi. The record is from RNAcentral.
CCGAGUUCAUGCCCCCCGGGGUAGACCUCCCACCCGUGCUUAUCUACCCUGUUGCUUUCGCGAGGCGCCGUUCCGGCCGCCGGUUCACGCUGGCGAGCCCUCGCGAGAGGCUUAACCACCAACCGUCUUAUCGUGUCAGUCAGAGUAGACUUGAAAAAAGGUCA